RNAcentral lists this long non-coding RNA (448 nucleotides) under Prunus persica (peach). Its description in RNAcentral is "long non-coding RNA (PPER_LNC001349)". The record is from RNAcentral. Lineage: Eukaryota; Viridiplantae; Streptophyta; Magnoliopsida; Rosales; Rosaceae.
CUAGGCUGAUGCCAUAUCAUUGAGAGGUUUUUGCGUCAGCGGAGUGACGUCCGAAGGGUGGAAAUGGAAGUUGGAAUUCCACUUUGUGGAAUCUCUCUUUAUGUCUUUGGGACCACAUAUCUUUGUUUCUAAGGCCACCUCCAAACCGAUCUCCAGCGCACACAAUCCAGCUCGGUUAAGGCAUGAGAUUCAUCAGUCUGGCCAAGCUCACGGAGAAAACUAGACUGGGAUGUUGCUCGAAGGUUGCUGAUGUCAGCAACUUUUUAUUAAUGUUAUUUCUAUAAACACCUAUCAAUAUUAUUUGCUUUCCACGCCAAAGCUUCAUACAAAUUCAUCUCCUUUCAAUAUUUUUUACUUUCCACACUAAAUUUUCUACUACAAAAUUUCAUUUGUGAAAAAAUACAAAUGGCCUCUUCCAUCGAAGUCGGAGGGUCGUGGAUAAACGUUC